This 419-nucleotide ribosomal RNA is filed under the name uncultured bacterium. RNAcentral describes it as "bacterial SSU rRNA". It matches the Rfam family "Bacterial small subunit ribosomal RNA", at positions 355 to 787 of the family's 1533-position model. The record is from RNAcentral.
UAGGGAAUAUUGCACAAUGGGGGAAAGACCCUGAUGCAGCGACGCCGCGUGAAGGAAGAAGUAUCUCGGUAUGUAAACUUCUAUCAGCAGGGAAGACAAUGACGGUACCUGACUAAGAAGCCCCGGCUAACUACGUGCCAGCAGCCGCGGUAAUACGUAGGGGGCAAGCGUUAUCCGGAUUUACUGGGUGUAAAGGGAGCGUAGACGGAUCUGCAAGUCUGGAGUGAAAGCCCGGGGCUCAACCCCGGGCACUGCUUUGGAAAUCUGUGGAUCUAGAGUGCCGGAGAGGUAAGCGGAAUUCCUAGUGUAGCGGUGAAAUGCGUAGAUAUUACGCAGAACUCCGAUUGCGAAGGCAGCAUACCGGCGCCCAACUGACGCUCAUGCACGAAAGCGUGGGUAUCGAACAGGAUUAGAUACCC